This 846-nucleotide long non-coding RNA is filed under the name Elaeis guineensis (African oil palm). RNAcentral's name for it is "long non-coding RNA (EGUI_LNC039998)". The record is from RNAcentral. Lineage: Eukaryota; Viridiplantae; Streptophyta; Magnoliopsida; Arecales; Arecaceae.
CAUGCAGAAUCCAGCAGAAGGUCGAUCGGUAGUGGAUGUCGGAUAGCACUGGAGAGGUUCACCCGCUGGAGGGGUCCGGCUGCUGGAGCCCGUGUGUCGUAGGAGUUCGUCCGGAGUCUAUCCGCUACAGAAGUUCGGUCGGAGUCUGGUUCCUGUAGAAGUUCGGAUGGGGAUCAUUUGUUGAGGAAGCUCGGUCGAAGCCUGCCUGCAAUAGAAGUUCGGAAGGAAUUCAUUCACAGUAGAAGCUCAGGUGGAGGCUUACAGUAGAAAUCCGAUGUGGACCACUCAUAGUAGAAAUUCGAAGUAGACAGUUUGUAGUGGUAGCUCAGAGUAGAUCGUUUGUAGUAGAAGCUCAGAGCAGAUCGCUUGUGGUGGGGGCUCAGAGUAGAUCGUUUGUAGUAGAAGCUCGGAGCAGAUCGCUUGGUGGGGGCUCGGAGCCCGACCCUUGUAAGAAUUCGGAUGAGGUCUACCUGCAAUAGGAGCUCAGGGCUGAAGUCCGGCUCCCGUAGGAGCCCGGACGAAGUCUACCUGCAGUAGGAGUUCAGGAAAGAAGUCUGGCUCCUGUAGGAGCUCGGAUCAAAUCCAGAAGGCGGUCGACCACCGUAAAAACUUGGAUGGAGUCCGUCUGUCAUGGAGAUCUGCUGUUGAGAAAGUUCGGCCACUGACGAACUGAUGAAGUUCUGGAAGAAAUUCGGAUUGGAGUCGAUUGAAUCCUGUUGGAAAAGAUCUGGAAGAGGUCCGGAGAACGGUUGACCCUUGUAGGACGUCGGUCGAUAGUAGAAUCCAGAGAGCACUUGGAGCAGCCUGAUAGACGACCGAAGAAGCUUAUCGCUGGAGAAGCCCGGG